GUAGCUCAAUAGAAGAGCACUUGCCUAGCAUGCAUGAGACCCUGGGUUCAAUCUCCAGC
RNAcentral lists this transfer RNA (59 nucleotides) under Cavia porcellus (domestic guinea pig). It matches the Rfam family "tRNA", at positions 7 to 64 of the family's 71-position model. From Rfam's summary of the family: Transfer RNA (tRNA) molecules are approximately 80 nucleotides in length. Their secondary structure includes four short double-helical elements and three loops (D, anti-codon, and T loops). Lineage: Eukaryota; Metazoa; Chordata; Mammalia; Rodentia; Caviidae. The record is from Rfam by way of RNAcentral.